AAGGAAAUGAAUAGAGUUAUUAUAAGAAUUGAAAUAAAGCAAAUGAAGAUAAGAUAUAUAAAUAUUUUAUAGUUUUAUUACGUUAUAUUAUGCACACACACAUAUCUAUACAUAUGUGUUGGCAUCAAUCAAAAAUUCAAAAAAAGAAAGGAAACAAUAAUUUUUUUUACAGAUUUUCAAAGUGUCCCCCUUAUGUGGUGACUUUCAGGAAAUUGAAGUUCCUACAAGUCUCCUCCCUUAGUAGUUGGCUUUGGCGCGGGUCCAGCGCUACAAGCCUUGGGGUUCUGAGUUCCCACAAGCUUAGGCGUAACGUUUGAGCACGUGAAAGUCGGUGGACCAUCGGCUCCUUUGUACUCAAGGUUAAUGUUCCCAAUCUCAACGUUCACACAUGGAUGUGCCUUGCUGCACAAUAGCUUCACUGCAUCCUUGUUCCCUGAUGUUCCUCUAAUGUUCUUGAAGCUUAUG
This 465-nucleotide long non-coding RNA is filed under the name Capsella grandiflora. Its description in RNAcentral is "long non-coding RNA (CGRA_LNC000775)". The record is from RNAcentral. Lineage: Eukaryota; Viridiplantae; Streptophyta; Magnoliopsida; Brassicales; Brassicaceae.